UAAAAUUGAAAAUAAGUAAAAUCACAUAGUUUUUUCGAGAUCAAUUUGCUUCUUUCUUAUUGGUCAUAUCAAAUUAAAUUUGUGUGCACAUAUAUAUAGAAAAAUACAUGUGUGUGUAUUUCGUACAAGCUCGUACCACUUCCCCAACAAUUCCCGCGCGUACGUUUGGCGUGCAGUAUUAGUGCGUCGUUGUAAACAGUAGUUGAGAUGUUUAACCUCAUCUAACAUGCGUCGUUAACCGCUUUAGACUGUUUGUGAUCGUGCGCGAUGCGAUCAGUGGAGUCAGCGUUUACACAUUAGCUCUAAUUAAUUGUAUUGUAAAUACAAUUAGGGUCACAGUUAAUUGUAUCUACAGUAUAUUGUAUGAAAAAUACAAUUCAUUCGCGAAAUUACAGUCAAUGUUUGUUCGUCGAUUAUAAUUCAAAUGGCCGCGUUAAUAGUAGUCUUUUAUUUUUCUAAAUAAUUUUUUUUAAAAUAAUUUUUUUUUAAAUAAUUCAUAAUAUAUAGCUUUUUAAGUAUUCGUUCUCUCAGAAACUCAAAACCUCUCUCAAAAGGAUCCAUCCUCUACAUAACUCAAAAAUGACUUUUCACAACCUCCACAUCUACGAUAAAGUUUGAUGACGGUUUCUUUUGGGCCACACCAACAUUGAUAACAACGUUCUCCGCAUCUAAUCCAAUGCAGGAUAGUAAAUGUAGAAAAUGGAAAAUGGGAAUAGAGUGGCAAUCAAACAGCGAUAUGCGGUAAGAAGAAUCGUUCCCAAAAAGGCGGGUGACCGUUAAGGUCCGCGACCUCUGGAAUGAACCUUCGACUCGAAUCAUGGAUAUUCGUACGGAGCUUUUGUGACAGUACCGCCGCCAGUAUUCGUGACUGUUUUAACGACACCUUAACCAGAGGACAAAAAGUUGUCCAACAAGCGUACAACGAAUCGCAUUCAACGCCAUCCACACGCCACACGCAAAGUUCAAAGAAACUCGCAACAUCAUGUACCACUUCAAAGUAAUGUGUUAAAAGCGGCAAAAAGCGUGAUCGCUCGAACCGUUAAGCGAAAAAUGGUACAGCACGAGUUCUACGUUUUAUAAAUGACAUAGUUUUAUUUUUUUAUUAUCAUAUUCCUCGUAUACACGAUCAUACAUAAGUAUUUAGGCACUUGCAAAUUAAUAUCUAGCAAAAACAUAUAGCAAAUGUAUUGUAAAGCAAUUAAGUUAGAAAAAUACA
Molecule: long non-coding RNA, 1216 nt
Organism: Bombus pyrosoma
Lineage: Eukaryota; Metazoa; Arthropoda; Insecta; Hymenoptera; Apidae
Exons: 5
Source: RefSeq, a predicted model, not a curated record